GACGAACGCUGGCGGCGUGCUUAACACAUGCAAGUCGAACGGAGAGGCCCUGCUUUUGUGGGGUGCUCGAGUGGCGAACGGGUGAGUAACACGUGAGUAACCUGCCCUUGACUUUGGGAUAACUUCAGGAAACUGGGGCUAAUACCGGAUAGGAGCUCCUGCUGCAUGGUGGGGGUUGGAAAGUUUCGGCGGUUGGGGAUGGACUCGCGGCUUAUCAGCUUGUUGGUGGGGUAGUGGCUUACCAAGGCUUUGACGGGUAGCCGGCCUGAGAGGGUGACCGGCCACAUUGGGACUGAGAUACGGCCCAGACUCCUACGGGAGGCAGCAGUGGGGAAUAUUGCACAAUGGGCGGAAGCCGGAUGCAGCAACGCCGCGUGCGGGAUGACGGCCUUCGGGUUGUAAACCGCUUUCGCCUGUGACGAAGCGUGAGUGACGGUAAUGGGUAAAGAAGCACCGGCUAACUACGU
This 467-nucleotide ribosomal RNA is filed under the name uncultured bacterium. Its description in RNAcentral is "partial 16S ribosomal RNA". It matches the Rfam family "Bacterial small subunit ribosomal RNA", at positions 28 to 506 of the family's 1533-position model. The record is from RNAcentral.